Molecule: long non-coding RNA, 730 nt
Filed under: Mus musculus (house mouse)
Lineage: Eukaryota; Metazoa; Chordata; Mammalia; Rodentia; Muridae
Description: Mir100 Mirlet7a-2 Mir125b-1 cluster host gene
Source: RNAcentral
GGCAGAAAGAGACCCAUUGCCUCUUGUAACCAGACACUGGGGCUUUCCAGGAGCCCAGGGAGAGAGCCGAGAAGAAAGGGGGCAGUGUGGUCUAGGAAAAUUCAACUUGUCGCUGAUUUGUGCCUGAUGCUUGCUGUCCGUCAGCAGCCUCCCUUACAAGCCUUUUUUCCUCUCUCUCCUUUUUUUCUCCCCUUGCCUUCUUCUUCAGUGAAGCCUAGGGGAGCCAGUAAAGAUUAAAUGUGCUUUCUCAAAGGCAGCCACUUCAUGCUGCUAUGUCGAAAGGGCUAUUAUUAUUAUUAAUAUGAGAGAGAGAGAGGGAGAGAGAGAGGGAGAGAGAGAGACUAGGUAUGGUGAUGACGGUCUGGCUUUUCGGAGAGCAAAAGGGAGAGAAAAAAGGAGAGACCAUGAGCUGAACCAAGGACUGUGUAUGAGCUGAACCUACAGAGGGAGGGUAGACCUGAAGCUUUCUUCUUUGUACACACUGACACAAGACUGCUGCUGCAUUGAUUCUUGAGCAAGGCGAACAAUGGAAGAAAGCCACUUUUUGUUGUUAAAGUGAGGUAGCAUUUCUGCUGUAGUUAGAAAGAGCAUUGUCUCUCCAGUGUCCCAAAUCACUUCCAUUAAACAGUCAAUGUGAUAACUGUCUGUGACAUGUUCUAUUAUCUUUCUAGUUGUUCUGAUGUUCCUUUCAGCUGGUCCUAUAGCCCCCUUUCUCAGUAAUGUCUCCCCA